CCACUCCUUCCCAUCCCGAACAGGACAGUGAAACGACUUUGCGCCGAUGAUAGUGCGGAUUCCCGUGUGAAAGUAGGUCAUCGUCAGGC
Molecule: ribosomal RNA, 89 nt
Filed under: Hydrogenophaga sp.
Lineage: Bacteria; Pseudomonadati; Pseudomonadota; Betaproteobacteria; Burkholderiales; Comamonadaceae
Source: RNAcentral